ACUCAAAUGAAUAGACGGGGGCCCGCACAAGCGGUGGAGCAUGUGGUUUAAUUCGAUGCAACGCGAAGAACCUUACCUACUCUUGACAUCCUCGGAACCACCCAGAGAUGGGUGGGUGCCUGAAAGGGAACCGAGAGACAGGUGCUGCAUGGCUGUCGUCAGCUCGUGUCGUGAGAUGUUGGGUUAAGUCCCGUAACGAGCGCAACCCUUGUCCUUAGUUGCCAGCACGUCAUGGUGGGAACUCUAAGGAGACCGCCGGUGAUAAACCGGAGGAAGGUGGGGAUGACGUCAAGUCAGCAUGGCCCUUACGAGUAGGGCUACACACGUGCUACAAUGGGCAGUACAAAGAGUCGCGACCCCGCGAGGGCUAGCCAAUCUCAAAAAGCUGUUCGUAGUCCGGAUCGGAGUCUGCAACUCGACUCCGUGAAGUCGGAAUCGCUAGUAAUCGCGGAUCAGAAUGCCGCGGUGAAUACGUUCUCGGGCCUUGCACACACCGCCCGU
Molecule: ribosomal RNA, 501 nt
Filed under: uncultured bacterium
Lineage: Bacteria
Description: partial 16S ribosomal RNA
Rfam family: Bacterial small subunit ribosomal RNA
Source: RNAcentral